UCCAAGCAUUGAUAGUUUUAAAAGUUCCCCAGGUGAUUCUAAUAUCUAGCCAGGAUUGAAAACAACUAUAAAUAUAAAACAAAUGAUAUGUAAGUAGACAUAUGAGAGACAGGGAGAUUUCUACCCCAUUGUGAGAUGCACCCAUUGUGAGAUGAGCACCAUAAACAUGCUGGGACUCUAUCAGUUGGAGUACUUUUAGCCAGAAGACACACACAUCUGGUCGACCAUGGUACAAGAACCGUAAUGUCUUCUUUAAUAGGCAGCUCAGACAUGGGGUCUUCAAAGUGGGUUAGUUCAGCAGCUUAACAGAGCAUAAGGGAUUUGAGGGCUUUUCAUCCCUUUCCUUCAUGAUCCCUUUCCUUCCAUCCCUGGAAUAGACUAAUUUAAAACCAGGACACCUUGUCCAGUCCCAUGAUGAGUAGACUUUUUUUCAACAAUGGGAUACUUCUUUUUAUAGUGGCUCUUUCAUAUCACAGUUUCAUUAUCAGAGAGUAAGAUCUUCCUAUUAAAUUGUCUUGGUUAUUGACACUGCUGGUGAAGUUAGAGCAGUGGGGACGUGGGAACAAAAACAUAACCCAUAGCUCCUCCCUUAAAGGCCAGUUCCAUCUUGGCUGACUGUACUGAUGAAGAUGAUCUCCAGACAUCUUUAAAUCUCUUUAAGGAAGAGAAGACAAAGGAGAAAAUGGGGCUUCACAGCUGUCCCAGUCCUUGGCUUUUGAGACAGGGAGAAGAUGCAAUCUGAGCAUUUAUCCUGCGGAUUCACAGGUGUCAUUUUAGCAGACUAUCUGCGUUUAUUGUGUUUUGGAGAUCAUCUGGACUUUCUGUGUCUCAAACAAAGUCAACAAAGAGUACUUUUUCAUUAGUGAGAUGCUUUUAUAUAUCGCUGUCAUCGGGGAGCAAAGAAAACACUUCUCUGCAGGCAUAGG
Oryctolagus cuniculus (rabbit) is the source of this 926-nucleotide non-coding RNA. The record is from RefSeq and is a predicted model, not a curated record. Lineage: Eukaryota; Metazoa; Chordata; Mammalia; Lagomorpha; Leporidae.